RNAcentral lists this transfer RNA (69 nucleotides) under Streptomyces phage Stella. Its description in RNAcentral is "tRNA-Cys". Lineage: Duplodnaviria; Heunggongvirae; Uroviricota; Caudoviricetes. The record is from RNAcentral.
GGUCUGCUACUAAGGUAGUGGCGUCGCCUGCAAAGCGACGCAGCUGGGUUCGACUCCCAGGUGGGCCUC